This 429-nucleotide ribosomal RNA is filed under the name Bacillota bacterium. RNAcentral describes it as "Firmicutes bacterium partial 16S ribosomal RNA". It matches the Rfam family "Bacterial small subunit ribosomal RNA", at positions 355 to 776 of the family's 1533-position model. The record is from RNAcentral. Lineage: Bacteria; Bacillati; Bacillota.
UAGGGAAUCUUCGGCAAUGGACGGAAGUCUGACCGAGCAACGCCGCGGGAGUGAAGAAGGUUUUCGGAUCGUAAAGCUCUGUUGUUAGAGAAGAACGUUGGUAGGAGUGGAAAAUCUACCAAGUGACGGUAACUAACCAGAAAGGGACGGCUAACUACGUGCCAGCAGCCGCGGUAAGACGUAGGUCCCGAGCGUUGUCCGGAUUUAUUGGGCGUAAAGCGAGCGCAGGCGGUUAUUUAAGUCUGAAGUUAAAGGCGGUGGCUUAACCAUUGUACGCUUUGGAAACUGGUGGACUUGAGUGCAGAAGGGGAGAGUGGAAUUCCAUGUGUAGCGGUGAAAUGCGUAGAUAUAUGGAGGAACACCGGUGGCGAAGGCGGCUCUCUGGUCUGUAACUGACGCGGAGGCUCGAAAGCGUGGGGAGCAAACAGG